This 1359-nucleotide long non-coding RNA is filed under the name Anolis carolinensis (green anole). RNAcentral's name for it is "lncRNA (ENSACAG00000037184.1)". Lineage: Eukaryota; Metazoa; Chordata; Lepidosauria; Squamata; Anolidae. The record is from RNAcentral.
AUGGAGUUUGGUUUGGACAAAUGUUCGACAGUGGCAUUGAAGAAGGGGAAAAUCAUUGAAAGUGAGGGCAUAAAUAUGCCUAAUGGCCAAACAAUAAAGUGUCACCAGCCAGAGGCCUAUAAAUAUCUGGGCAUAUUACAGCUGGACAACAUCAAGCAUGAACAUGUGAAGACUGUGGUCAGUAAAGAAUACACACAAAGGGUCAGAAAAAUUCUCAAAAGCAAGCUCAAUGGAGGCAACACCAUCAAGGCCAUAAACACUUGGGCCAUGCCUGUCAUAAGAUAUACUGCUGGCAUUAUAAACUGGACACAGAUGGAACUGGACAAUUUGGACAGAAAAACAAGAAAACUCAUGACCAUUCAUCACUCACUGCACCCUCGCAGUGAUGUUGACCGGCUAUAUCUGCCUAGAAGAUCAGGGGGCAGAGGACUCUUACAAGUCAAACAAGCAGUCAAAGAAGAAGAACAUGCCCUGGCAGAAUAUGUAAAGCAAAGUGAAGAACCUGCUUUGAUUGAAGUCAAAAAUCAGAAACUCCUCAAAGCACAGCAGACAAAAAACCAGUACAAGAAAGCCACACUACAAACUAGAGCUGACAGCUGGCACAACAAAACAUUGCAUGGAAAGUUCCUUGACAAAAUUGAAGGAAAAGCUGACAAGGAGAAGACCUGGCCCUGGCUCACAAAUGGGACCCUGAAGAAGGAGACAGAAGGCCUGAUCCUUGCAGCCCAGGAGCAAGCCAUCAGAACAAAUGCAAUUAAGGCCAAGAUUGAAAAAUCAGCUGAUGACCCAAAAUGCAGACUGUGCAAGGAAGCUGACGAAACCAUUGAUCAUCUCCUCAGCUGCUGUAAGAAAAUUGCACAGACAGACUACAAACAGAGGCACAACUGUGUGGCCCAAAUGAUCCAUUGGAACUUAUGCCUCAAGCACCACCUCCCAGCAGCAAAGAACUGGUGGGAUCACAAACCAGCAAAGGUCGUGGAAAAUGAACACGCAAAGAUACUGUGGGACUUCCGAAUCCAGACUGACAAAGUUCUGGAACACAACACACCAGAUAUCACAGUUGUGGAAAAGAACAAGGUUUGGAUAAUUGAUGUCGCCAUCCCAGGUGACAGUCGCAUUGAUGAAAAACAACAGGAAAAACUCAGCCGCUAUCAGGACCUCAAGAUUGAACUUCAAAGACUCUGGCAGAAACCAGUGCAGGUGGUCCCGGUGGUGAUCGGCACAUUGGGUGCCGUGCCAAAAGAUCUCAGCCGGCAUUUGGAAACAAUAGACAUUGACAAAAUUACGAUCUGCCAACUGCAAAAGGCCACCCUGCUGGGAUCUGCACGCAUCAUCCGAAAAUACAUCACACAGUCCUAG